AACGAACGCUGGCGGCAUGCCUAACACAUGCAAGUCGAACGAGACCUUCGGGUCUAGUGGCGCACGGGUGCGUAACGCGUGGGAACCUGCCCUUAGGUUCGGAAUAACUCCCCGAAAGGGGUGCUAAUACCGGAUAAUGUCUUCGGACCAAAGAUUUAUCGCCUUUGGAUGGGCCCGCGUUGGAUUAGCUAGUUGGUAGGGUAAAAGCCUACCAAGGCGACGAUCCAAAGCUGGUCUGAGAGGAUGAUCAGCCACACUGGGACUGAGACACGACCCAGACUCGUACGGGAGGCAGCAGUGGGGAAUAUUGGACAAUGGGCGAAAGCCUGAUCCAGCAAUGCCGCGUGAGUGAUGAAGGCCUUAGGGUUGUAAAGCUCUUUUACCCGGGAUGAUAAUGACAGUACCGGGAGAAUAAGCUCCGGCUAACUACGUG
RNAcentral lists this ribosomal RNA (433 nucleotides) under uncultured bacterium. Its description in RNAcentral is "partial 16S ribosomal RNA". It matches the Rfam family "Bacterial small subunit ribosomal RNA", at positions 29 to 507 of the family's 1533-position model. The record is from RNAcentral.